AUUGAACGCUGGCGGCAUGCUUUACACAUGCAAGUCGAACGGUAACAGGCCUUCGGGUGCUGACGAGUGGCGCACGGGUGAGUAAUGCAUCGGAACGUGCCCAGAGGUGGGGGAUAACGCAGCGAAAGCUGUGCUAAUACCGCAUGUGAUCUGAGGAUGAAAGCGGGGGACCAAGCAGCAAUGUUUGGCCUCGCGCCUCUGGAGCGGCCGAUGUCAGAUUAGGUAGUUGGGGGGGUAAAGGCCUACCAAGCCGACGAUCUGUAGCUGGUCUGAGAGGACGACCAGCCACACUGGGACUGAGACACGGCCCAGACUCCUACGGGAGGCAGCAGUGGGGAAUUUUGGACAAUGGGCGCAAGCCUGAUCCAGCAAUGCCGCGUGCGGGAAGAAGGCCUUCGGGUUGUAAACCGCUUUUGUACGGAACGAAAAGGCUCUGGCUAAUACCUGGGGCUGAUGACGGUACCGUAAGAAUAAGCACCGGCUAACUACGUG
RNAcentral lists this ribosomal RNA (492 nucleotides) under uncultured bacterium. RNAcentral describes it as "partial 16S ribosomal RNA". It matches the Rfam family "Bacterial small subunit ribosomal RNA", at positions 29 to 507 of the family's 1533-position model. The record is from RNAcentral.